UGGGGGAUCUUGCACAAUGGAGGCAACUCUGAUGCAGCGACGCCGCGUGAGCGAAGAAGGUCUUCGGAUCGUAAAGCUCUGUCCUAUGGGAAGAUAAUGACGGUACCAUAGAAGAAAGCCCCGGCUAACUACGUGCCAGCAGCCGCGGUAAUACGUAGGGGGCGAGCGUUGUCCGGAAUUAUUGGGCGUAAAGGGUUCGUAGGCGGCAAUGCAUGUCAGAUGUGAAAGCCUGUGGCUUAACCACAGUAAGCAUCUGAAACUGCAUAGCUUGAGAAAAGGAGAGGUAAGUGGAAUUCCUAGUGUAGCGGUGAAAUGCGUAGAUAUUAGGAGGAAUACCAGUAGCGAAGGCGACUUACUGGCCUUUAACUGACGCUGAGGAACGAAAGCGUGGGGAGCAAACA
This 401-nucleotide ribosomal RNA is filed under the name uncultured bacterium. RNAcentral describes it as "bacterial SSU rRNA". It matches the Rfam family "Bacterial small subunit ribosomal RNA", at positions 355 to 774 of the family's 1533-position model. The record is from RNAcentral.